UCGAGAAUCUUCCACAAUGGACGAAAGUCUGAUGGAGCGACGUUACGUGAAGGAUGAAGCCCUUCGGGGUGUAAACUUCUUUUCUCUGGGAGCAAAUUAAUGAGAGUACCAGAGGAAUAAGGGGAUCCUAAUUCUGUGCCAGCAGGAGCGGUAAUACAGAAUCCCCGAAUGUUACCCGGAUUUAUUGGGCGUAAAGGGUGUGUAGGUGGUUUGGUAAGUUCAGAUUUAAAGCUCAUCGGCUUAACCUUUGAGAUGAUCUGAAUACUGCCAGACUAAGAGGGCGUUAGAGGCAAACGGAACCGAUGGAGUAGGGGUGAAAUCCGUUGAUAUCAUCGGGAACACCAAAAGCGAAGGCAGUUUGCUGGGGCGACCCUGACACUGAAACACGAAAGCGUGGGGAGCAAAAAGGAUUAGAUACCCGCGUAGUCC
RNAcentral lists this ribosomal RNA (429 nucleotides) under uncultured bacterium. Its description in RNAcentral is "bacterial SSU rRNA". It matches the Rfam family "Bacterial small subunit ribosomal RNA", at positions 355 to 796 of the family's 1533-position model. The record is from RNAcentral.